GCCCUGGCAGUCAGAGGCGAUGAAGGACGUGCUAAUCUGCGAUAAGCGUCGGUAAGGUGAUAUGAACCGUUAUAACCGGCGAUUUCCGAAUGGGGAAACCCAGUGUGUUUCGACACACUAUCAUUAACUGAAUCCAUAGGUUAAUGAGGCGAACCGGGGGAACUGAAACAUCUAAGUACCCCGAGGAAAAGAAAUCAACCGAGAUUCCCCCAGUAGCGGCGAGCGAACGGGGAGCAGCCCAGAGCCUGAAUCAGUGUGUGUGUUAGUGGAAGCGUCUGGAAAGGCGCGCGAUACAGGGUGACAGCCCCGUACACAAAAAUGCACAUGCUGUGAGCUCGAUGAGUAGGGCGGGACACGUGGUAUCCUGUCUGAAUAUGGGGGGACCAUCCUCCAAGGCUAAAUACUCCUGACUGACCGAUAGUGAACCAGUACCGUGAGGGAAAGGCGAAAAGAACCCCGGCGAGGGGAGUGAAAAAGAACCUGAAACCGUGUACGUACAAGCAGUGGGAGCACGCUUAGGCGUGUGACUGCGUACCUUUUGUAUAAUGGGUCAGCGACUUAUAUUCUGUAGCAAGGUUAACCGAAUAGGGGAGCCGAAGGGAAACCGAGUCUUAACUGGGCGUUAAGUUGCAGGGUAUAGACCCGAAACCCGGUGAUCUAGCCAUGGGCAGGUUGAAGGUUGGGUAACACUAACUGGAGGACCGAACCGACUAAUGUUGAAAAAUUAGCGGAUGACUUGUGGCUGGGGGUGAAAGGCCAAUCAAACCGGGAGAUAGCUGGUUCUCCCCGAAAGCU
This 795-nucleotide ribosomal RNA is filed under the name Escherichia coli. Its description in RNAcentral is "partial 23S ribosomal RNA". It matches the Rfam family "Bacterial large subunit ribosomal RNA", at positions 30 to 867 of the family's 2925-position model. Lineage: Bacteria; Pseudomonadati; Pseudomonadota; Gammaproteobacteria; Enterobacterales; Enterobacteriaceae. The record is from RNAcentral.